RNAcentral lists this ribosomal RNA (497 nucleotides) under uncultured bacterium. Its description in RNAcentral is "partial 16S ribosomal RNA". It matches the Rfam family "Bacterial small subunit ribosomal RNA", at positions 28 to 507 of the family's 1533-position model. The record is from RNAcentral.
GAUGAACGCUGGCGGCGUGCCUAAUACAUGCAAGUCGAGCGAACGGACGAGAAGCUUGCUUCUCUGAUGUUAGCGGCGGACGGGUGAGUAACACGUGGAUAACCUACCUAUAAGACUGGGAUAACUUCGGGAAACCGGAGCUAAUACCGGAUGAUAUUUUGAACCGCAUGGUUCAACAGUGAAAGACGGUCUUGCUGUCACUUAUAGAUGGAUCCGCGCUGCAUUAGCUAGUUGGUAAGGUAACGGCUUACCAAGGCAACGAUGCAUAGCCGACCUGAGAGGGGGAUCGGCCACACUGGAACUGAGACACGGUCCAGACUCCUACGGGAGGCAGCAGUAGGGAAUCUUCCGCAAUGGGCGAAAGCCUGACGGAGCAACGCCGCGUGAGAGAUGAAGGUCUUCGGAUCGUAAAACUCUGUUAUUAGGGAAGAACAUAUGUGUAAGUAACUGUGCACAUCUUGACGGUACCUAAUCAGAAAGCCACGGCUAACUACGUG